GAUGAAGAACGCAGCGAAAUGCGAUAAGUAAUGUGAAUUGCAGAAUUCCGUGAAUCAUCGAAUCUUUGAACGCAUAUUGCGCUCUCUGGUAUUCCGGAGAGCAUGCUUGUUUGAGUAUCAGUAAACACCUCAACUUCCAUAUCUUUUUUGAAAUGGGAGUUGGACUUGAGUGAUCCCAACGCUUUUCCUCACCGAAAAGUGGCGGGUUACUUGAAAUGCAGGUGCAGCUGGACUUUUCUCUGAGCUAUAAGCAUAUCUAUUUAGUCUGCCUAAAAAACAGAUUAUUACCUUUGCUGCAGCUAACAUAAAGGAGAUUAGUUCUUGUGCUGACUGAUGCAGGAUUCACAAAGACAGGCUUCGGCCGACUUUGUAAACUCGAUCUCAAAUCAAGUAAGACUACCCGCUGAACUUAAGCAUAUCAAUAAGCGGAGGA
RNAcentral lists this unclassified non-coding RNA (433 nucleotides) under soil metagenome. RNAcentral describes it as "partial contains 5.8S ribosomal RNA, internal transcribed spacer 2, and large subunit ribosomal RNA". The stretch from base 1 to 120 matches the Rfam family "5.8S ribosomal RNA", at positions 35 to 154 of the family's 154-position model. The record is from RNAcentral.